Molecule: ribosomal RNA, 696 nt
Filed under: Pseudomonas sp.
Lineage: Bacteria; Pseudomonadati; Pseudomonadota; Gammaproteobacteria; Pseudomonadales; Pseudomonadaceae
Description: partial 16S ribosomal RNA
Rfam family: Bacterial small subunit ribosomal RNA
Source: RNAcentral
GUCUUACUCCGCCUUAAUUCUCCCCCCCGUUUUGGGGAAAACAGGGGGGAGCAAACACGAGUGGAUUUCCCUGGUAGUCCCCGCGUUAAAUCGAAAUUUAUUUCCCCUUUGGGGAGCCUUUCAAGGUAUUUUCCGCCCCCCCUUAUCCCAUUAAAUUGUCCACCAGGGGGGAAAGCCCGUCCCAAGGUUAAAUCCAAGGAAUUUUCCCUGGGGCCUCACAAACCGGGGGGGCGCGUGUUUUAUAUCCAAAAAUCCGGAAAAACCCUUCCCCAGCUCUUUAAUACCCAAUGAACUUUCUAGAGAUAGAUUGGUGCUUUUGGGAACAUUGAGACAGAAAUUGCAGGGUUGUCAUCAGCUCGUGUCGUGAGAUGUUGGGUUAAGUCCCGUAACGAGCGCAACCCUUGUCCUUAGUUACCAGCAGGUAAUGGUGGGCACUCUAAGGAGAAUGCCGGUGACAAACCGGAGGAAGGUGGGGAUGACGUCAAGUCAUCAUGGCCCUUACGGCCUGGGCUACACACGUGCUACAAUGGUCGGUACAGAGGGUUGCCAAGCCGCGAGGUGGAGCUAAUCCCAUAAAACCGAUCGUAGUCCGGAUCGCAGUCUGCAACUCGACUGCGUGAAGUCGGAAUCGCUAGUAAUCGCGAAUCAGAAUGUCGCGGUGAAUACGUUCCCGGGCCUUGUACACACCGCCCGUCA